RNAcentral lists this ribosomal RNA (432 nucleotides) under uncultured bacterium. RNAcentral describes it as "bacterial SSU rRNA". It matches the Rfam family "Bacterial small subunit ribosomal RNA", at positions 1 to 405 of the family's 1533-position model. The record is from RNAcentral.
CGGUCUCGCCGAAUGCAUCUAGAUUAGAGUUUGAUCAUGGCUCAGCAUUGAACGCUGGCGGCAGGCCUAACACAUGCAAGUCGAGCGGAUGACGGGAGCUUGCUCCUUGAUUCAGCGGCGGACGGGUGAGUAAUGCCUAGGAAUCUGCCUGGUAGUGGGGGGUAACGUUUCGAAAGGAACGCUAAUACCGCAUACGUCCUACGGGAGAAAGCAGGGUGACCUUCGGGCCUUGCGCUAUCAGAUGAGCCUAGGUCGGAUUAGCUAGUUGGUGGGGUAAUGGCUCACCAAGGCGACGAUCCGUAACUGGUCUGAGAGGAUGAUCAGUCACACUGGANACUGAGACACGGUCCAGACGUCUUCCGUACGGUGAUGGCAGCAGUGGGGGGAAUAUUGGACAAUGGGCGAAAGCCUGAUCCAGCCAUGCCGCGUGUG